UACGUAGGGUGCAAGCGUUAAUCGGAAUUACUGGGCGUAAAGCGUGCGCAGGCGGUUGGGCAAGGCAGGUGGGAAAUCCCCGGGCUUAACCUGGGAACUGCACUUGUGACUGCACGGCUGGAGUACGGCAGAGGGGGAUGGAAUUCCGCGUGUAGCAGUGAAAUGCGUAGAUAUGCGGAGGAACACCGAUGGCGAAGGCAGUCCCCUGGGCCUGUACUGACGCUCAUGCACGAAAGCGUGGGGAGCAAACAGG
RNAcentral lists this ribosomal RNA (253 nucleotides) under uncultured bacterium. Its description in RNAcentral is "partial 16S ribosomal RNA". It matches the Rfam family "Bacterial small subunit ribosomal RNA", at positions 524 to 776 of the family's 1533-position model. The record is from RNAcentral.